RNAcentral lists this transfer RNA (90 nucleotides) under Planctomycetota bacterium. RNAcentral's name for it is "Planctomycetes bacterium tRNA-Ser". It matches the Rfam family "tRNA". Rfam says of the family: Transfer RNA (tRNA) molecules are approximately 80 nucleotides in length. Their secondary structure includes four short double-helical elements and three loops (D, anti-codon, and T loops). The record is from RNAcentral. Lineage: Bacteria; Pseudomonadati; Planctomycetota.
GGAGAGAUGGCCGAGUGGCUGAAGGCGCCGGUUUGCUAAACCGGUGAGUCCCGUUCAGGGGCUCCGCGGGUUCGAAUCCCGCUCUCUCCG